This is a long non-coding RNA of Empidonax traillii (willow flycatcher), 347 nucleotides long. RefSeq lists it as uncharacterized. NCBI's taxonomy places the organism in Eukaryota, Metazoa, Chordata, Aves, Passeriformes, Tyrannidae. The record is from RefSeq and is a predicted model, not a curated record. The transcript has 3 exons.
AUGUUGUCAGGUCACUGUAUGAGCACACCAGUAUUUACCAAAAUGUUCCAAGACUCAAAACAACAGGCUGAUAUUGUGCUCAAUGUUCUCACCUGUCAGCCUCAUUGACUACUUUGCACUGAUGAGGUGCUCUUAAGAGACCUAAGUGCCUCCUAAGAACCUGGCCCUCUGGCUAUUACUUACAUCUAUCUACACCACCAUUUGACUGUGGAAUGGUUUUUCUGCAGAGUACUGAACGGACUGCAAUGUAAACAGACAACUUUUGCUAAUUCUCAUUUCUUCAUUCUGGGCAAACCAAGUACUUUAUACAUACCUAAAAGAGCGGAAAUAUUAAUCAUAAAACCAAA